GGGGUUGUGGCUCAGUGGUAGAGUGCUCACCUAGCAUGUGUUAAGACCUGGGUUUGAUCCUCAGAACCACA
This 71-nucleotide transfer RNA is filed under the name Marmota monax (woodchuck). Its description in RNAcentral is "tRNA.Ala". Lineage: Eukaryota; Metazoa; Chordata; Mammalia; Rodentia; Sciuridae. The record is from RNAcentral.